Molecule: ribosomal RNA, 28 nt
Filed under: Symbiodinium sp. Amami1a
Lineage: Eukaryota; Dinophyceae; Suessiales; Symbiodiniaceae
Also listed under: 1 other name
Description: partial 28S rRNA
Source: RNAcentral
CCUAGCAUGAAGUCAGACAAGUGAACCC